This 382-nucleotide long non-coding RNA is filed under the name Nicotiana benthamiana. RNAcentral describes it as "long non-coding RNA (NBEN_LNC034983)". The record is from RNAcentral. Lineage: Eukaryota; Viridiplantae; Streptophyta; Magnoliopsida; Solanales; Solanaceae.
UCAGUACCAAUUUGUUCCUUUAAUCACGUCUACUUUCCUUGAUUGCCUCUGAUUGAUUCCUUGAAUCUUGUAUGCCAAUCCAUAAAUUCUGUGAUCAUUGCUAAUUGAUUUCUUCAAUCAUGAAUGAUAUCCAUGAGUCCUUUUACAAAGAGAAAAUAUAUUAUUUUUCAUCAUUAAAAUCAAAUCUAACAAUCUCUUCCUUUUUGAUGGUGAUAAAGUACUAUAUAUUUAUAAACAACAGUUGACCUUCUUGUAUUUUAACCCCCCCAAUAAGAGUAGUGGACUGUCUGGUGCUAGUUUGUUUGAGGCGCAUGUAGUUGACUGCUUCAGGUUCUGUGACUCCCCCUCCAGGAGUGCCAAAGCUGACUAACUCAUACUCGAC